This 603-nucleotide ribosomal RNA is filed under the name Shouchella clausii. Its description in RNAcentral is "bacterial LSU rRNA". It matches the Rfam family "Bacterial large subunit ribosomal RNA", at positions 1433 to 2025 of the family's 2925-position model. The record is from RNAcentral. Lineage: Bacteria; Bacillati; Bacillota; Bacilli; Caryophanales; Bacillaceae.
AUAUUCCUGUACCACCUCGUAUUCGUUUGAACGAUGGGGGGACGCAGAAAGGUAGGGUGAGCGCGCCGCUGGCUGUGCGCGUCGAAGCAUGCAAGGCUGGAACAUAGGCAAAUCCGUGUUCCGUAAGGCUGAGCUGUGACCGUGAAGGACCUUCGGGUCCGAAAUCCCUGAUCCUCCGCUGCCGAGAAAAGCCUCUAGUGAGAAUACAGGUGCCCGUACCGCAAACCGACACAGGUAGGCGAGAAGAGAAUUCUAAGACGCUCGGGAGAACUCUCGUUAAGGAACUCGGCAAAAUGACCCCGUAACUUCGGGAGAAGGGGUGCUCUAGUAGGGUUAACCGCCCGAGAGAGCCGCAGUGAAAGGAUCCAAGCGACUGUUUAGCAAAAACACAGGUCUCUGCGAAGCCGUAAGGCGAAGUAUAGGGGCUGACACCUGCCCGGUGCUGGAAGGUUAAGAGGAAGGGUCAUCCCUUGCGGGAGAAGCUCUGAAUUGAAGCCCCAGUAAACGGCGGCCGUAACUAUAACGGUCCUAAGGUAGCGAAAUUCCUUGUCGGGUAAGUUCCGACCCGCACGAAUGGUGCAACGACUUGGAUACUGUCUCAAC